Molecule: non-coding RNA, 115 nt
Filed under: Chimaeribacter arupi
Lineage: Bacteria; Pseudomonadati; Pseudomonadota; Gammaproteobacteria; Enterobacterales; Yersiniaceae
Description: Phenylalanine leader peptide
Rfam family: Phenylalanine leader peptide
Source: RNAcentral
CCUCUGUUUUUCUUCGCAUUCUUUUUUACCUUCCCCUGACUGGGAGGCGAUUCGUCACACGAUAAAGAAUGCGAAGACGAACAAAAAAAGCCUCCCCCGCGGAGGCUUUUUUUAU